GAUCCUGGCUCAGAUUGAGCGCUGACGGCAGGCUUAACACAUGCAAGUCGAACGGUAACAUAAAGAAGCUUGCUUCUUUGAUGACGAGUGGCGGACGGGUGAGUAAUGCUUGGGAAUCUAGCUUAUGGAGGGGGGAUAACUACGGGAAACUGUAGCUAAUACCGCGUAGUAUCGAGAGAUGAAAGUGUGGGACCUUCGGGCCACAUGCCAUAGGAUGAGCCCAAGUGGGAUUAGGUAGUUGG
This 242-nucleotide ribosomal RNA is filed under the name uncultured bacterium. RNAcentral's name for it is "partial 16S ribosomal RNA". It matches the Rfam family "Bacterial small subunit ribosomal RNA", at positions 15 to 252 of the family's 1533-position model. The record is from RNAcentral.